RNAcentral lists this ribosomal RNA (795 nucleotides) under Neptunomonas acidivorans. Its description in RNAcentral is "bacterial SSU rRNA". It matches the Rfam family "Bacterial small subunit ribosomal RNA", at positions 57 to 843 of the family's 1533-position model. Lineage: Bacteria; Pseudomonadati; Pseudomonadota; Gammaproteobacteria; Oceanospirillales; Oceanospirillaceae. The record is from RNAcentral.
GCAGUCGAACGGUAACGACACUAGCUUGCUAGUGGGCGACGAGUGGCGGACGGGUGAGUAACGCGUAGGAAUCUACCUAGUAGUGGGGGAUAGCCAAGGGAAACUUUGGGUAAUACCGCAUACGAUCUAAGGAUGAAAGGGGGCCUCUCUUUGAAGCUCUCGCUAUUAGAUGAGCCUGCGUAAGAUUAGCUUGUUGGUGAGGUAAUGGCUCACCAAGGCGACGAUCUUUAGCUGGUCUGAGAGGAUGAUCAGUCACACUGGAACUGAGACACGGUCCAGACUCCUACGGGAGGCAGCAGUCGGGAAUAUUGGACAAUGGGGGAAACCCUGAUCCAGCCAUGCCGCGUGUGUGAAGAAGGCCCUAGGGUUGUAAAGCACUUUUAGUAGUGAGGAAGGCUCAGCAGUUAAUACCUGCUGGGAUUGACGUUAGCUACAGAAAAAGCACCGGCUAAUUUCGUGCCAGCAGCCGCGGUAAUACGAAAGGUGCAAGCGUUAAUCGGAAUUACUGGGCGUAAAGCGCGCGUAGGCGGCUUGGUAAGUUGGAUGUGAAAGCCCCGGGCUCAACCUGGGAACUGCAUCCAAAACUGCCUAGCUAGAGUAUGGUAGAGGAUGGCGGAAUUUCCUGUGUAGCGGUGAAAUGCGUAGAUAUAGGAAGGAACAUCAGUGGCGAAGGCGGCCAUCUGGACCAAUACUGACGCUGAGGUGCGAAAGCGUGGGGAGCAAACAGGAUUAGAUACCCUGGUAGUCCACGCCGUAAACGAUGAGAACUAGCCGUUGGACAUCUUGCAUGUUUAG